GNNGACGCUGGCGGCAUGCCUAANACAUGCAAGUCGAACGGAGUUUCACUCCUGCGGCGGACUUCGGUCCAAAGCUUAGUGAAACUUAGUGGCGAACGGGUGAGUAACAGGUAGACAACUUGCCUCAACGACUGGGAUAACACUGGGAAACUGGUGCUAAUACCGGAUAGGAUAUAGAUUCGCAUGAAUUUAUAUUUAAAGAUGGGUUAAACCAUCACGAUGAGAGAGGUCUGCUUCGUAUUAGCUAGUUGGUAGGGUAAUGGCCUACCAAGGCAAUGAUGCGUAGCCGAGCUGAGAGGCUGAUCGGCCACACUGGAACUGAGACACGGUCCAGACUCCUACGGGAGGCAGCAGUUAGGGAUAUUCGGCAAUGGACGAAAGUCUGACCGAGCAAUGCCGCGUGAAUGAAGAAGUAUUUCGAUAUGUAAAGUUCUGUUGUAAGGGAAGAAUGGUUGUGAUAGGAAAUGAUCACAAUUUGACGGUACCUUACCAGAAAGCCCCGGCUAACUACGUGCCAGCAGCCGCGGUAAUACGUAGGGGGCGAGCGUUAUCCGGAAUUAUUGGGCGUAAAGGGUGCGUAGGCGGCCUUAUAAGUCUGAGUUGAAAGCCCACGGCUUAACCGUGGAGGGUGCUCGGAAACUGUAAGGCUUGAAUCCAGAAGAGGCAAGUAGAAUUCUAUGUGGAGCGGUGGAAUGCGUAGAUAUAUGGAGGAAUACCAGUGGCGAAGGCGGCUUGCUGGUCUGGGAUUGACGCUGAGGCACGAAAGCGUGGGGAGCAAACAGGAUUAGAUACCCUGGUAGUCC
RNAcentral lists this ribosomal RNA (803 nucleotides) under uncultured bacterium. RNAcentral's name for it is "bacterial SSU rRNA". It matches the Rfam family "Bacterial small subunit ribosomal RNA", at positions 29 to 796 of the family's 1533-position model. The record is from RNAcentral.